RNAcentral lists this ribosomal RNA (501 nucleotides) under uncultured bacterium. RNAcentral's name for it is "partial 16S ribosomal RNA". It matches the Rfam family "Bacterial small subunit ribosomal RNA", at positions 28 to 523 of the family's 1533-position model. The record is from RNAcentral.
GAUGAACGCUAGCGGCAGGCUUAAUACAUGCAAGUCGAGGGGCAGCACAGAUAGCAAUAUUGGGUGGCGACCGGCAAACGGGUGCGGAACACGUACACAACCUUCCUUUUAGUGUGGGAUAGCCCAGAGAAAUUUGGAUUAAUACCACAUAGUAUAUUGGAGUGGCAUCACUUUGAUAUUAAAGAUUUAUCGCUAAAAGAUGGGUGUGCGUAUGAUUAGGUAGUUGGUAGAGGUAACGGCUCACCAAGCCUUCGAUCAUUAACUGGUGUGGGAGCCCGACCGGUGACGCGGGCAGUGAGACACGGGCGCGACUCGUGCGGGGGGCAGCAGUAAGGAAUAUUGGUCAAUGGACGGAAGUCUGAACCAGCCGUGCCGCGUGAAGGAUGACGGCACUCUGGGUUGUAAACUUCGUUUAUGUGGGACGAAAAAGGGCCAUUUUUGGUCAACUGACGGUACCAUAGGAAUAAGCACCGGCUAACUCCGUGCCAGCAGCCGCCGUAA